CGAACGCUGGCGGCAGGCUUAACACAUGCAAGUCGAGCGCAUCCUUCGGGGUGAGCGGCGGACGGGUGAGUAACGCGUGGGAACGUGCCCUCUUCUACGGAAUAGCCUCGGUAAACUGAGAGUAAUGCCGUAUACGCCCGCAAGGGGAAAGAUUUAUCGGAGGAGGAUCGGCCCGCGUUGGAUUAGGUAGUUGGUGGGGUAACGGCCUACCAAGCCGACGAUCCAUAGCUGGUUUGAGAGGAUGAUCAGCCACACUGGGACUGAGACACGGCCCAGACUCCUACGGGAGGCAGCAGUGGGGAAUCUUGGACAAUGGGGGCAACCCUGAUCCAGCCAUGCCGCGUGAUCGAUGAAGGCCUUAGGGUUGUAAAGAUCUUUCAGCUGGGAAGAUAAUGACGGUACCAGCAGAAGAAGCCCCGGCUAACUCCGUG
RNAcentral lists this ribosomal RNA (431 nucleotides) under uncultured bacterium. Its description in RNAcentral is "partial 16S ribosomal RNA". It matches the Rfam family "Bacterial small subunit ribosomal RNA", at positions 30 to 507 of the family's 1533-position model. The record is from RNAcentral.